GAUGAAGAACGCAGCGAAAUGCGAUAAGUAAUGCGAAUUGCAGAAUUCAGUGAGUCAUCGAAUCUUUGAACGCACAUUGCGCCCUUUGGUAUUCCAAAGGGCAUGCCUGUUCGAGCGUCAUUUGUACCCUCAAGCUUUGCUUGGUGUUGGGCGUCUUGUCUCUAGCUUUGCUGGAGACUCGCCUUAAAGUAAUUGGCAGCCGGCCUACUGGUUUCGGAGCGCAGCACAAGUCGCACUCUCUAUCAGCAAAGGUCUAGCAUCCAUUAAGCCUUUUUUUCAACUUUUGACCUCGGAUCAGGUAGGGAUACCCGCUGAACUUAAGCAUAUCAAUAAGCGGAGGA
This 341-nucleotide unclassified non-coding RNA is filed under the name soil metagenome. RNAcentral describes it as "partial contains 5.8S ribosomal RNA, internal transcribed spacer 2, and large subunit ribosomal RNA". The stretch from base 1 to 120 matches the Rfam family "5.8S ribosomal RNA", at positions 35 to 154 of the family's 154-position model. The record is from RNAcentral.